This 375-nucleotide ribosomal RNA is filed under the name uncultured bacterium. RNAcentral describes it as "bacterial SSU rRNA". It matches the Rfam family "Bacterial small subunit ribosomal RNA", at positions 527 to 898 of the family's 1533-position model. The record is from RNAcentral.
GGGGGGAGCAAGCGUUGUUCGGAUUUACUGGGCGUAAAGGGCGGGUAGGCGGCCACUGCAAGUCGGUUGUGAAAUCUCCGGGCUUAACCCGGAAAGGUCAACCGAUACUGCAGGGCUAGAGUGCAGAAGGGGCAACUGGAAUUCUCGGUGUAGCGGUGAAAUGCGUAGAUAUCGAGAGGAACACCUGCGGCGAAGGCGGGUUGCUGGGCUGACACUGACGCUGAACUGCGAAAGCUAGGGGAGCGAACGGGAUUAGAUACCCCGGUAGUCCUAGCCUUAAACGAUGAAUGCUUGGUGUCUGGGGUUUUAUAGUCCCCGGGUGCCGUCGCUAACGCUUUAAGCAUUCCGCCUGGGGAGUACGGUCGCAAGACUGAA